RNAcentral lists this ribosomal RNA (452 nucleotides) under Asaphes vulgaris. RNAcentral's name for it is "eukaryotic LSU rRNA". The record is from RNAcentral. Lineage: Eukaryota; Metazoa; Arthropoda; Insecta; Hymenoptera.
AAACCUGAGAAACUCAAAAGAUCGAAUGGGGAGAUUCACCGUCAGCGGCAAUGGCUUCCGUGUGGCUCGCGAUGUCCGGGACUUCGGUUCCGUGGCACGCGGUCGCUGCGGUAUGUCCGGUGUCGUCGGCGUGCACUUCUCCCCUAGUAGGACGUCGCGACCCGUUGGGUGUCGGUCUACGGACUGGUUGGUCGACUGUCGCGUCUCGUUCACGCGUGUACGCGGCAGACCACCGGAUUCCCGGCCGGCUGCCCGGCGGUAUAGAUCGCUAUAAAAUGGUAUUGAGCCGCAUUAAGUGCGUUCAGGCUCGUCGGCAGGCUCGUCUCGCUCGGAUUUACGGACCUAGCGCCGUUGCCGGGUGCUUGGCGCGGCCGUUAGUCGACGAUGUCCUCGGACUGGCUCUUAUAUUCGAACGGAUAUACCGGUCGGCGACGCUACUGCUUUGGGUACUU